This 791-nucleotide ribosomal RNA is filed under the name uncultured crenarchaeote. RNAcentral's name for it is "bacterial SSU rRNA". It matches the Rfam family "Archaeal small subunit ribosomal RNA", at positions 85 to 941 of the family's 1478-position model. Lineage: Archaea; Thermoproteati; Thermoproteota. The record is from RNAcentral.
ACGGCUCAGUAACACGUAGUCAACAUGCCCAGGGGACGUGGAUAACCUCGGGAAACUGAGGAUAAACCGCGAUAGGUCAUCACUUCUGGAAUGGGUAAUGACCUAAAUCUAUAUGGCCCCUGGAUUGGACUGCGGCCGAUCAGGCUGUUGGUGAGGUAAUGGCCCACCAAACCUGUAACCGGUACGGGCUCUGAGAGGAGGAGCCCGGAGAUGGGCACUGAGACAAGGGCCCAGGCCCUAUGGGGCGCAGCAGGCGCGAAACCUCUGCAAUAGGCGAAAGCUUGACAGGGUUACUCUGAGUGAUUUCCGUUAAGGAGAUCUUUUGGCACCUCUAAAAAUGGUGCAGAAUAAGGGGUGGGCAAGUCUGGUGUCAGCCGCCGCGGUAAUACCAGCACCCCGAGUGGUCGGGACGUUUAUUGGGCCUAAAGCAUCCGUAGCCGGUUCUACAAGUCUUCCGUUAAAUCCACCUGCUUAACAGAUGGGCUGCGGAAGAUACUAUAGAGCUAGGAGGCCAGUGGCGAAGGCGGCUUGCCAGAACGCGCUCGACGGUGAGGGAUGAAAGCUGGGGGAGCAAACCGGAUUAGAUACCCGGGUAGUCCCAGCUGUAAACGAUGCAGACUCGGUGAUGAGUUGGCUUAUUGCUAACUCAGUGCCGCAGGGAAGCCGUUAAGUUUGCCGCCUGGGGAGUACGGUCGCAAGACUGAAGCUUAAAGGAAUUGGGAGAGGCAAGCGGUACUCGAUGGGUAGGGGUAAAAUCCGUUGAUCCAUUGAAGACCACGGCGGGGGAGCAC